UACGGAGGAUGCAAGCGUUAUCCGGAAUGAUUGGGCGUAAAGCGUCCGCAGGUGGCUGUGUAAGUCUGCUGUUAAAUAGUGAGGCUCAACCUCAUAAAGGCAGUGGAAACUACACGGCUAGAGUGCGUUCGGGGCAGAGGGAAUUCCUGGUGUAGCGGUGAAAUGCGUAGAGAUCAGGAAGAACACCGGUGGCGAAAGCGCUCUGCUAGGCCGCAACUGACACUGAGGGACGAAAGCUAGGGGAGCGAACGGG
This 253-nucleotide ribosomal RNA is filed under the name uncultured bacterium. Its description in RNAcentral is "partial 16S ribosomal RNA". It matches the Rfam family "Bacterial small subunit ribosomal RNA", at positions 524 to 776 of the family's 1533-position model. The record is from RNAcentral.